AUUUGUCAACAUCAAUUCACACUUGCAUCCUCCAAAACCCAACAAAAUUAAACAAGUCACGAUCCCAUCUCAACCCCCACUCUAUACCUUCCCAUACUGCUAAUUAACUCUCUAACAGAAAGAUUACGAAGCAUCCCUUUGCCUCUAAAUAUAAGCAGAAGUUGAAGAUCAAACUAAAAUCAAGUCCAAAAGAGACUUCAUUUUUCUCUUGGCGAGGUGUGAAGAAAGGGAGAUGUCAGCUGCUGUAGGGACUUCGUCAGCAUCCAAAGAAAUGGGAUUCGACAAUGGAAUGGAAAUUGAAGAGCUGUUGAAGAACAAGAUCAACAACGUGGAGGCCACUGGUAGUGAAGAAGAAGAAGAAGAAGAGGAUGAGGAGGAAGAGAAUGAUUCCAAGGUCAUCAAGAGUUUGAAAGAACUGGAUAUUGGUCCUCAAGUUUCUUUCAAGGAGCAGCUUGAAAAAGACAAGGAUGAUGACAGCUUAAGAAGAUGGAAAGAGCAGCUCCUUGGAAGUAUUGACUUGGCUUCUGUUGGAGAAAGCAAAGAAGCAGAAGUAAAGAUAAUAAAGCUGUCAAUCUCAUGUCCGGGGAGGGCAGAUAUUGUAUUACCAAUUUCAUCCAAUGCCAAGUCAAAGAGAAGUCUCUUCACUCUCAGGGAAGGAACCCAUUAUCGCCUCAACUUAUCCUUUGCUGUUUCCAACAAUAUCGUCUCUGGCCUCAUCUAUACCAACACUGUCUGGAAGGCUGGCGUUAGAGUGGACCACACAAAAGUGAUGCUGGGAACUUUCGGGCCAAAGCAAGAGCCCUAUACUUGCGGGUUGGAAGAAGAAACCAUCCCUUCUGGCAUUUUGGCAAGAGGCUGCUACUCUGCUACAACCAAGUGCGGAGGACAGUGAAAGCUAAAUUGAUUUCGUGGAGUUGCAAUUACAAAUUUAGCCUUUGCCGUAUGGUUGGACCUUUGUAUGCCUUGGGCUUUCUGUCUUUUCACACCAGGGAGAUUUUUUUCCUCAUUCUGCGAGGGUUGCCGGGCACCUUUGGUCGUGUUUGCUUGACGUUCUUGGUAAGCCUAUUCAAAACGACGCCGUUUGUCGGCUUCUGUUUCUAUUCUUGCUAGUCAGGGCUAACAGAUCAAGUUAAAGUUAAAAUAAAUAAAUAAAUAAAUGC
This 1160-nucleotide unclassified non-coding RNA is filed under the name Hevea brasiliensis (rubber tree). The record is from RNAcentral. Lineage: Eukaryota; Viridiplantae; Streptophyta; Magnoliopsida; Malpighiales; Euphorbiaceae.